AAUAUUGCGCAAUGGUGGGAACGCUGACGCAGCGACGCCGCGUGAGCGAUGAAGGUCUNCGGAUCNUNAAGCUCUGUCCUUGGGGNCGAAGGUCUUCGGACUUGAGGGUACCUAUGGAGGAAGCCUCGGCUAACUACGUGCCAGCAGCCGCGGUAAUACGUAGGGGGCAAGCGUUGUCCGGAAUUAUUGGGCGUAAAGGGUGCGUAGGCGGCCUUUUAAGUCAGAUGUGAAAGCCCACGGCUUAACCGUGGGACUGCAUUUGAAACUGGAGGGCUUGAGUAUCGGAGAGGGUAGUGGAAUUCCCAGUGUAUCGGUGGAAUGCGUAGAUAUUGGGAGGAACACCAGUCGCGAAGGUGACUUUCUGGACUGUAACUGACGCUGAGGUACGAAAGCGUGGGUAGCGAACA
RNAcentral lists this ribosomal RNA (407 nucleotides) under uncultured bacterium. Its description in RNAcentral is "partial 16S ribosomal RNA". It matches the Rfam family "Bacterial small subunit ribosomal RNA", at positions 360 to 774 of the family's 1533-position model. The record is from RNAcentral.